GCAGCUGUGGCUGAAUGAUUACGGUGUUCGCUUUGUAAGCAAAUGGUUUUGGGUUCGAUUCCCAUCUGCUCCC
Molecule: transfer RNA, 73 nt
Filed under: Culex quinquefasciatus (southern house mosquito)
Lineage: Eukaryota; Metazoa; Arthropoda; Insecta; Diptera; Culicidae
Rfam family: tRNA
About the family: Transfer RNA (tRNA) molecules are approximately 80 nucleotides in length.
Source: Rfam by way of RNAcentral